This is a long non-coding RNA of Bufo bufo (common toad), 1596 nucleotides long. RefSeq lists it as uncharacterized. The record is from RefSeq and is a predicted model, not a curated record. NCBI's taxonomy places the organism in Eukaryota, Metazoa, Chordata, Amphibia, Anura, Bufonidae. The transcript has 4 exons.
AGGCUGAAAAUUCACUGACACAAUUGGAUCUUCCACCUUCCACCUUUAUUAUCGGGGCAAUUGUCAACCUUUGGAAAUAAACCAGAAUGUUUUCAUCCACUCAUGGUACUCACGAGCCAGCUUGGAUUCCAACCUAUCAGAUGAAGAUGCUUCCCGCACUAGAUCUGCAGACUGCACCACUUGGCAUCUGUUACCAGACUCUCUAAAACCUGUGUGUGGGAGAAACUGUUGUCACAAUAGGAACAAUUAAGUUUAAUGCGAAUCUAUGGAAGAAUGUUUAUUAACCACACAGAAGAGGCUGAAAAUCAGAAGAACAACCUAUAGAAUUGUGAAGAAGUUUUGUAAGCCUUGAAAAAAUGAAAUGCUGCUAUCCAAUGUAUACAGUGUCUAUCCUAUAUUACAAUCAAGUUUAUUUGUAUAUGUUGUAAUACAUAAAUGCACAUUACAGCUUACGAUUGUUUUCAUUUAGUCAUAAGUCAAUGUAUUAUUUGAAUGUCUAUUAAGCAGUAUUAUGCAAAGGAAUGGAUGGGCACAAGCAGCCAAGCUCCCUCUCCCCAAGCAAGAACAGAAUAUAGUCCUUUUGGUUUACAGUAGUUCAUCAUUGAUUAACCACUUAUGUUUCUCUAAGGGUCAAUCAGUAAUUGUGAGACAUAGAUCUCUACAGCUCGGUCCCUUACAUACAAUAAUGGGAAGCUACUAUAAAGUUCCAGGAAAACAGAAGCUCGGUUUGUCUAAAUGCUCCAGAUUUAGCGGAAUGUUUAAGUUAUUGUUUAUGUAUCAAUGAGCAUUUUUCUUGUGAAGUUUAAUAAAUUAUGUAUGUUUUUUGUACAUAAAGGACAUAAACUGCAUCCAUGUGUAAGUUAAAAUGCUUUACAAUGGCCCUUUGAGGCAUAGAAUGGACUUUAUCCUUCUUCUAUCAAUGUCCUGGUAAAAUUACUUUGACAUCUUUGUGUAGUCAGGUGGAUAAAAAAAAACAGGACUGAAACUUAAAAAGGAUUUAGUGAAAGUGUAAACGUAUUAUAAUCUAUCAAAGAGAAUCUGUCGGGUAUCAUUUUUGUUUUAGCAAAUAUUUCUAUUACCCCAGAGAUAAUGCUGGAACAUUUUUUUCUUAGAACUCAGUAUUUUGCCAUUCCUCUGUUAAUUCUCUAGGACAGUAAUGUUCUACAUACAAUGCUUAAAAAAAGCUCCAAAAAGCUACAAACUUAUGGCAAUCACAUCUAGGGAUAAUUUGGAUCUGGUUGCAGUAAAUGCGACAUGGUUCAAUGAUUGUAAUGACUGGGAAAUCGCCAUACCUGGUUGCACACUGUACAGGAAAGACAGAGAAGACGAAGUGGUGGAGUAGCCGUUUAUGUCAAGGGUAGUCUUAAUUCAGGAGACACACAAAGUGCUGGAAACCCUUUGGAUUUGCAUGAAAACAAAAGAGGGAACUGUGGCCUCCAGGGCAAAGUGAGGAUUAUCACAACAAGUUGGUGGAGGAAAUUUCUCGAAUAGCUGAAAAGGGAAAUAUUGCAGUUAUGGGUUACUUCAACAUGCCUGGUGUAGACUGGAAUAUCUCUAGUGCUCUUUCAUGCAAGAGCAGGAGUAUAAUUGAUGCUC